RNAcentral lists this ribosomal RNA (2052 nucleotides) under Eniochobothrium sp. n. 2 AW-2016. Its description in RNAcentral is "SSU rRNA". It matches the Rfam family "Eukaryotic small subunit ribosomal RNA". Lineage: Eukaryota; Metazoa; Platyhelminthes; Cestoda. The record is from RNAcentral.
CUAUGGUUUAUUGGAUCAUACCCGUUAAAUGGRUAACUGUAAUAACUCUAGAGCUAAUACAUGCCACGAAGCCCUGACCUGUGCUCGCAAGGGUGCAGGAAUGGGUGCACUUAUUAGAUCAGAAGCCAACCGCGUUGUUGUCGCAAGGCAGCAGCGUGUUGUCGUUCUGGUGACUCUGGAUAAUUGUUACAGAUCGCAGUCGGCCUUGAGUCGGCGACGGGUCCUUCAAAUGUCUGCCCUAUCAACUUUCGAUGGUAGGUGACCUGCCUACCAUGGUGAUAACGGGUAACGGGGAAUCAGGGUUCGAUUCCGGAGAGGGAGCCUGAGAAACGGCUACCACUUCUAAGGAAGGCAGCAGGCGCGCAAAUUACCCACUCCCAGUACGGGGAGGUGGUGACGAAAAAUACCGAUGCGGGACUCCUAAAAGAGGCUCCGUAAUCGGAAUGAGUGAACUUUAAAUCCUUUCACGAGGAUCAAUUGGAGGGCAAGUCUGGUGCCAGCAGCCGCGGUAACUCCAGCUCCAAUAGCGUAUAUUAAAGUUGCUGCAGUUAAAAAGCUCGUAGUUGGAUCUCGGUAUCACUGUUGCCUGUCGGUUCUUAGGUCGGGUUCCCGCCCAUCGUGCCGGGCUGUUUUUCACCGGGCCCUCCGUGGUGUCCUUGGUGUGGCGGUCUGUGCCGUUGUGGUGGCCGUGCCAAGCCGGCAGUGGCGGCGGUGUCACCUUUCAGCCAUGUCUGUGGUGCAAUACCCACAGGUGUAGGCGUGUGUCAGGCAGUGCAUGGCUUCUGGCUGUGUCUGUCGGCUCGCUUGCAUGCCAGUGAUCCUUGAUGCCUUUAACCGGGUGUCCUCUGGCGGAUGGCACGUUUACUUUGAACAAAUUUGAGUGCUCAAACCAGGCCGAUGUUGCCUGAAAAGUUUUGCAUGGAAUAAUGGAAUAGGACUUCGGUUCUAUUUCGUUGGUUUUCGGAUCCGAAGUAAUGAUCAACAGAGACAGGCGGGGACGUUUGUAUGGCUGCGCUAGAGGUGAAAUUCAUGGACCGUAGCCAGACAAACUAAAGCGAAAGCAUUCGUCAAGCAUGUUUUCAUUGACCAUGAGCGAAAGUCAGAGGCUCGAAGACGAUCAGAUACCGUCCUAGUUCUGACCAUAAACGAUGCCAACUGACGAUCCGUGGUGGUAGUAUUUACAACCUUCCCCACGGGCAGUCCCCGGGAAACCUUUAAGUCUUUGGGUUCCGGGGGAAGUAUGGUUGCAAAGCUGAAACUUAAAGGAAUUGACGGAAGGGCACCACCAGGAGUGGAGCCUGCGGCUUAAUUUGACUCAACACGGGAAAACUCACCCGGCCCGGACACUGUGAGGAUUGACAGAUUGAUAGCUCUUUCUUGAUUUGGUGGUUGGUGGUGCAUGGCCGUUCUUAGUUGGUGGAGCGAUUUGUCUGGUUAAUUCCGAUAACGAACGAGACUCUAGCCUGCUAAUUAGUACAGCCGUCUUCUGUGCUCGGACCAAGGGCGUUUGACGAUGUUGUACCUAUACACCCUCUACUACGGCUGCGUGUCGGUGUCUUGUCGUGCCGGUGGCNUCGGCUGUUGGUCGGCUUGUGCUGCGCGUAGUNUGCGGUUCUGGGAUGGUCGACUGGUUCGGCGUUUGUUGACGAGUACGGCGCGGUUUGUUCACUUCUUAGAGGGACAAGCGGGAGAAGCCGCACGAAAUUGAGCAAUAACAGGUCUGUGAUGCCCUUAGAUGUCCGGGGCCGCACGCGCGCUACAAUGACGGUGCCAACGAGUCUGACCUUCUGGCCCGAAAGGGUUGGGCAAACUGGUCAAUCACCGUCAUGACAGGGAUCGGGGCUUGGAAUUGUUCCCCGUGAACGAGGAAUUCCUAGUAAGUGCAAGUCAUAAGCUUGCGCUGAUUACGUCCCUGCCCUUUGUACACACCGCCCGUCGCUACUACCGAUUGAAUGGUUUAGUAAGGUCCUUGGAUCGGUGCUAUUCUGCUACUUGUCGAAAGGCAGGCCAGCCGACAGGCGCUGAGAAGACGACCAAACUUGAUCAUUUAGA